UAAAGGUGAUCGUUCCGAUGAUUUGUGU
Molecule: non-coding RNA, 28 nt
Filed under: Bombyx mori (domestic silkworm)
Lineage: Eukaryota; Metazoa; Arthropoda; Insecta; Lepidoptera; Bombycidae
Source: RNAcentral